UACGUAGGUGACCAGCGUUGUCCGGAUUUACUGGGCGUAAAGAGCGCGCAGGCGGUCGUUCAAGUCGAGUGUGAAAGCCCCCGGCUCAACUGGGGAGGGUCAUUCGAUACUGAUCGACUUGAAGGCAGGAGAGGGUAGUGGAAUUCCCGGUGUAGUGGUGAAAUGCGUAGAUAUCGUGGAGGAACACCGUGGCGAAGGCGCAUCUGGACCGAAACUGACACUGAGGCGCGACAGCGUGGG
Molecule: ribosomal RNA, 240 nt
Filed under: uncultured bacterium
Lineage: Bacteria
Description: partial 16S ribosomal RNA
Rfam family: Bacterial small subunit ribosomal RNA
Source: RNAcentral